CUGGAAGCUGAGCAAGGGAGAUAAGACUAGAAGCUAUCCAAAAUGCAAGGGGUGGUGGUGGCGGCUUCUUUCUCUCAAGCUUUAGAAGACAUAACUCUCAAACUUUAAGAACUUUGAGCUGUGGCGUCCUGAACAAGGAUCCUAAGGUAUCAAAGAAACCUCAUAGAGUGAGAAUUGGACAGUGCGGUGUCUUUGUGGAGUGUUUGGUGGGUGACUUCAACUUUCUAUUUCCACUUGUGGCAUUUGAAAUUGCUGUCAAGUUCACUGUCUGGAUAUGUGUCUGCCAGAAAGGCCUUCCAUUUUUUGAUGUGAAGAUUUUUGCUAGGUAUAGAAUCUACCAUGGCCCUUGGGAGUUUGUUCCAGUGGUUGACCACCAUCACUGUUAAAAAGUGAGGUACUUAUACAUGGUAAUCAAGAAUCCUCCCAUGAUGCAACAUCAUCAGGGCUUGAACCUUCGGGAUUGGAACAAAGACUGCUACCAUUUCAGCUACCUUGAGUCAUUCCUUCCUGCAACCUCAUCAAUGUUUUGCUACUCUGUGACUCCCCUCCAAUUUUUCAAUAUCUUACAAAUGAUGUGUAGCCAGAACAUAACAUAAUGCUGUAAUGUUUGGUAGGCAUCAUCCUACCAAAGCCACAUUAAGAGGAACUGUGCAGGACAUGAUUCUUUACCCUAAAUAUCUCUAAAUCACGUUGGCUUCAUAUUUAUGUGCUGCUGUAUCAUGUUCCAUACAGAAUUCGUGAAAAAUGGCAACAACUUUUCAUGACAAAAUUUUAAAAAAGAAAUAAGCUUUAUUUCACAGGUAUCCAAAAGGAGAAGUUUGUCACUUAUAUGAAGCUGUUCUUGAAACUUCCACAUUUUAAUUGCUGUGGGGGUUUUUGUGUGUGUGUGUUUUCCCCUUUUUUUCCCACUUUGCCUUUUUGGGGAAGAGAAGGCAAUAUUGAAAAGAAGGAAAACUUGUGUGGGUGAGAAUGAAGAGUUUUAUGAAAACUGCCAUUUUUGAAAACAGGCAAUUUUUAAUGCAAUAUUUUUCAUUUGAAAAAUUCCAACCACCUUUACUUUCUAACUUGUGUCUAAUCUGUUGUCCACUACAACCCCUAGGUUUGUUCAUCAUUUCUUUCUUCGAGUGAAUAUCUGUGUGUUUUCCCCAGAUAUAUUAUUUUAAACUUUCCCCAUGAUGAAUAGCUGGAAUCCUAGGGUGAAAUCCUGGUCUUAUUGAAGUCAAUGAGAGCUUAGGCAUUAACUUCAAAGGGGCCAGAAUUUCACCUCCUCAUGUCUCUGAAGAGUCUGUGAUUAAAUGAUCUUUAUUAUAUGACUAGAUAUUAGGAAAUGAAAUAUAAUUUCUAGUUGUAUUUUAUUCUCUUGCAAAAGACCUGGGAAAGACUGUUAUUAUCUUUUAGGCUGACAAUCUAACACUUUGACAUUGUGGAUUGGCAGCUGUCAAAACGUAUUUCAUCUUGCACUAAUAUUUUUAGAAAGCAGCUAUU
This is a long non-coding RNA of Mauremys reevesii (Reeves's turtle), 1485 nucleotides long. RefSeq lists it as uncharacterized. NCBI's taxonomy places the organism in Eukaryota, Metazoa, Chordata, Testudines, Geoemydidae. The transcript has 4 exons. The record is from RefSeq and is a predicted model, not a curated record.